GCAAAAACAUGUCUUCCUUCAAGUAAACAAUAAACAGUCUGUUCUUGUUCCAUUUGUAAUCGAAAAGUAAUCAAUUUUCAAAUUUUAAGCUUAUCGUAUGGCGUUCCGUUCCGGUCAAAAUUAUUUCAAGUCAACAAGUAAUAGUCAAACAUUAUAUCAACAUGUUAUAACUCUCAAUACAAUGUUGAAAAUAUCAAGAUGAAGUUCAAACUCAAAAAAAUAAAACGAAAGUUUAAAGCAUAUACUUCAAAACUGCAAAAUACAUUUCAAACCUCAAAGGAUAUACAUGAAAAUUAAACGCAAGUCCAAACUUUUAUUUAUAAUACGAAACUCCCAAAUGAUAAGUCAAAGCCGCGGCUCAUAAAAAUAAAUCGAAAAGUCAAAAAUAUAAAUCGAAAGGAAACGGAAGUAAGCAACUUAAUACAGAGGAAGUCAGGAAACGGAAGUUAACCAAGAAGCCAGCGAAUGGAUUCUUUGUUUUAAAGGGGGGUGAACACGCGCUGAGAUAUUUACGUAUGUCGAUAUUAAAAAGUUAAAGAUUUCGAAACUGACGAAUUAUUUCUCUCUUUAUAAACAUUGCUGACCUCGUCUUUUACAGUAACAAUUACAUUAUUAUAUUAUAUUAUGAUUCAACCGAAUAUCUUGCUCGCCGUCUGGAUGUUUACGAGAUAAAUAUUCUUGUACUAAUCUAUAGCCUGAUGAUCCUGGGUGAUACUUGUGAGAUACCACGAACAAGUAGAUCAAGAUCAUUGUCCCUUAUCGUAGAAUGUGAUUGAGUGAUUCCCUGUUCGUAUAUAGCGGAGACAAAGUAAAAUUAACGUCGACGUCGUCGUAUUGCACUCUCAGAUACUCAAAAUUUCAUGUAAUUUCUGCUCAGGAAAGUCCAACUUGGAGAAUUAAAGUUUAGAUGGCCUGUUGUCAGACGUCCAGUCUUUGUCUUCCCACACCAAAAUUCGCAUCUUUCGCAUGUUUCCCUUUGACGACGAACAAUCACUUGAAGGGUGCGCAUAUCUGACAAAAGUUGUUGCUCUAGAGGAUUUUAAGCAUUGAGAAAAAUAUUCGGUUGAAUCAUAGCGAAUGUUAUUG
Non-coding RNA from Paramuricea clavata, 1086 nucleotides. The record is from the annotation of a GenBank genome assembly. Lineage: Eukaryota; Metazoa; Cnidaria; Anthozoa; Malacalcyonacea; Plexauridae.